GCCCGGUUAGCUCAGUCGGUAGAGCAUCAGACUUUUAAUCUGAGGGUCGUGGGUUCAAGUCCCACAUCGGGUG
RNAcentral lists this transfer RNA (73 nucleotides) under Exaiptasia diaphana. Its description in RNAcentral is "tRNA-Lys". It matches the Rfam family "tRNA". Rfam says of the family: Transfer RNA (tRNA) molecules are approximately 80 nucleotides in length. Their secondary structure includes four short double-helical elements and three loops (D, anti-codon, and T loops). Further hydrogen bonds mediate the characteristic L-shaped molecular structure. tRNAs have two regions of fundamental functional importance: the anti-codon, which is responsible for specific mRNA codon recognition, and the 3' end, to which the tRNAs corresponding amino acid is attached (by aminoacyl-tRNA synthetases). tRNAs cope with the degeneracy of the genetic code in two manners: having more than one tRNA (with a specific anti-codon) for a particular amino acid; and 'wobble' base-pairing, i.e. permitting non-standard base-pairing at the 3rd anti-codon position. The record is from Rfam by way of RNAcentral. Lineage: Eukaryota; Metazoa; Cnidaria; Anthozoa; Actiniaria; Aiptasiidae.